GUGGCUACUGAUUGCUUAUUGCACCACAUGUGUUUUUCUUUGAAACAAACUUGCUUUGGCGGUGGGCCCAGCCUGCCGCCAGAGGUCUAAACUUACAACCAAUUUUUUAUUAACUUGUCACACCAGAUUAUUACUAAAUAGUCAAAACUUUCAACAACGGAUCUCUUGGUUCUCGCAUCGAUGAAGAACGCAGCGAAAUGCGAUACGUAAUAUGAAUUGCAGAUAUUCGUGAAUCAUCGAAUCUUUGAACGCACAUUGCGCCCUCUGGUAUUCCGGAGGGCAUGCCUGUUUGAGCGUCGUUUCUCCCUCAAACCGCUGGGUUUGGUGUUGAGCAAUACGACUUGGGUUUGCUUGAAAGACGGUAGUGGUAAGGCGGGAUCGCUUUGACAAUGGCUUAGGUCUAACCAAAAACAUUGCUUGCGGCGGUAACGUCUACCACGUAUAUCUUCAAACUUUGACCUCAAAUCAGGUAGGACUACCCGCUGAACUUAAGCAUAUCAAAAGGCGGAGGAA
Molecule: ribosomal RNA, 513 nt
Filed under: Candida albicans
Lineage: Eukaryota; Fungi; Ascomycota; Pichiomycetes; Serinales; Debaryomycetaceae
Description: eukaryotic LSU rRNA
Rfam family: 5.8S ribosomal RNA (bases 146-299)
Source: RNAcentral